GUGAGUAGUUCAGAGUUUGAUCCUGGCUCAGGAUGAACGCUGGCGGCGUGCAUAACACAUUCAAGUCGAACGAGGUAGCAAUACCUAGUGGCGGACGGGUGAGUAACGCGUGAGCAACCUGCCCUUGUGUGGGGGAUACCGUCUGGAAACGGACGUUAAUACCGCAUAACACAAGAAGGCCGCAUGACCUUCUUGUCAAAGAUUUAUUGCGCAAGGAUGGGCUCGCGUUGGAUUAGAUAGUUGGUGAGGUAACGGCUCACCAAGUCUGCGAUCCAUAGCCGGACUGAGAGGUUGAACGGCCACAUUGGAACUGAGAUACGGUCCAG
RNAcentral lists this ribosomal RNA (326 nucleotides) under uncultured bacterium. Its description in RNAcentral is "bacterial SSU rRNA". It matches the Rfam family "Bacterial small subunit ribosomal RNA", at positions 1 to 334 of the family's 1533-position model. The record is from RNAcentral.